AUGCAAGGCAUUUGGUGUUCCCAGCACCUCAAACCAAGCUCCCAGGCUUCCUCCCGCCACAUCAGGCGUCAUGAGGGCAGGCGCUGUUGCUGUCCCCCCACACCAUCAUUCACCCUGCUCUGGGCAUCGUGGGCUUCCUCCAGCUGGGAGUUCAGGGCUUGGGUCUGGUUGGCCAUGGCGCCUCUCUCUCCUGGGCCUCCUGCAGCUUCCGGAGCAGCUCCUCCUGCCGCCCUUGGCCUCACGAAGUUCCAGCGCCUGUGCCUGCUGCCCCGCCCGAGCCUCGGCCAGCUCCUGGGGGAGGCUGGUCUCUCUCCUGCCGCAGGUCACUGUCCUGGCCUGGGCUGCCAGCCGGACACCCGUCUGCCUUGCUGUCCCCAGCGUCUCUGCCAGGAAUUGUCACUGAGACCUGCACGUACAGCCUCAGCCAGGAGCUCUACCUGCAGUGUCUCACGGAACCCUCACCCCAGCUUGGUUGGGGCAGGGGGCAGGGGUGGAUCUUCUCAGCCCAUUUUCUACACACAGACUCAGAGAUUUUAAGAUAUUUCCUUAAGAUCACACAGCACGUACAGACCCAGGGACAGGACUGGAACCCAGGUUGGACUCAGGUGUGCUGGGAAACCAGCUCAGCCCCCAAGGUGAGGGGAGAGGGAAGAGACGAGGUGCUGGGGCAGGGUACCUGACAGCCUGUCCUGUAGAGUCUGCAUUUCCUUCCGCAGCUGCUCCAGCUCCCGAUGGUCCGAGGGGUCUGCAGAGCCUCUGCAGUGUGGGGACACCCGUAACAUUGAGGAGCUUGUCCUGCGGCAGGGCAAACCCACCCUGCCCAGGCCCUGAUGGCACCUGUACCUUGGAGCUUCCGGCUCAGCUCCAGCUUCUCCUGCUCCAGACAGCGGAGCUUCCGCUCCAGGGAGCCAACUGCUCAGAGCUGCUCUCAGGGCCAGGACUGGGGAAAGCAGAGCAACACAAGUUGGCAGAGAACCAUCCCCCAGCCUCCUCCAUCUUUCUUCAUCCAACAUUGAUUCAUCUAAGAAAUGCCCACUGCGCACCAGCUCUGUACCCAAGUCUGGGCUCUGGGCUGGGAAGAGAGACAGAGGAGACCACACCUUGCCCUUAGGAGGCCCCAGGCAGGUACCAUGGGUGGUAGCCAGGACAAUGGUUCCAGAGUCCCUGGGCCCUGGUUCCACAGCCCUGGCCCUUAUUGUGUGUGUGACCUUGAACAAUAACCUAAUGUAUCAAGGUCUCAGUUUCCCCACAGGAAAAGGGAGGUGACGCUAGGGCUCUUGCAAGAGCUGUCAAGAGAACUCAGUGGUAUGGGCCCAGGACAUAGGAGCACUCUAUGAAUAAGGGUGAGAGGCAUCUGCUUAUACUUCACAGUUCCCACUCCCCAGGGCCUCGCUGCAGUCUCAGGCCAGCCUUACAAGUGGAACUGGGCUGAGAGCAUCUACCCAUUUUACAGAGGUACAAAGUGAGGCUCAGGGAGCAGCACUA
RNAcentral lists this long non-coding RNA (1485 nucleotides) under Bos grunniens (domestic yak). RNAcentral's name for it is "lncRNA (ENSBGRG00000026602.1)". The record is from RNAcentral. Lineage: Eukaryota; Metazoa; Chordata; Mammalia; Artiodactyla; Bovidae.